CAAAGGAUACUGGUGCCAGAGCCGCCGAGCCUGCCUCACCUCAUGCCAGGGGAAAGAGUCACACUCACAGGAAAAAAAUUCAGGCCCAUUGGAAGACUUUGCAGGAAGAGAGAGAAAAGCUGCUGGGAUUUAAACUGACUGGAGAGGGGAAAAGCUGGGAGUAUCUGAAACAGAUAGAAAAGGAGAGGUAGAAAAUUGUUUCUGAAUUUCAGCAACUGAGGCAGUUCCUGGAGGAACAAGAACGACUCCUGCUGGCCCGGCUGGAAAAGCUGGACAAGGAGAUAGCGAAGAUACGGAAUGAAAAUAACACCAUACUCUCGAAGGAGAUUUCCCAUCUCGGUGAGCUGAUGAGUGAGCUGGAGGGGAAGUAACAGAAGCCAGCGAGUGAAUUCCUGCAGGUGAGACUGAAUUAGAAACGUGGCAGAUCCCCACACAGGGAAGGGAGGGCUCCUGAAUCAUAAGAACGGGGUUCCAGCAGUCAGAGAUCUCACUGUAACUCGGCGUGUGGAUUGCUGACAUGUGAAUGACUAUUGGUUAUUGCAGAGUU
Chrysemys picta bellii (western painted turtle) is the source of this 547-nucleotide non-coding RNA. The record is from RefSeq and is a predicted model, not a curated record. Lineage: Eukaryota; Metazoa; Chordata; Testudines; Emydidae.